AUGCUUCGUCCCUCUCGAUCUCAAUUCAAACAAGACCGUCGCACCAGCACAUCCACGGCGGCGGCUGCAGCGGUCCUUGCUCAGAAACACAAAUGUUUUAUGUCAAACGCUUCGUACUUCCUGACUCCAAAUCCGUGGUCCUUUUUUUCCAUUUUCUACUCAACGAAGAAAUCCAAAGAUCUUCACCAAUCAUCCAGAUCUGCUUGGUUAAUUGCACUUGUUCUUUUUUCUGCUUUGGCAUAG
This is a non-coding RNA of Vicia faba (fava bean), 243 nucleotides long. The record is from the annotation of a GenBank genome assembly. NCBI's taxonomy places the organism in Eukaryota, Viridiplantae, Streptophyta, Magnoliopsida, Fabales, Fabaceae.